ACGUACACUCCUACGGGAGGCAGCAGUGGGGAAUAUUGGACAAUGGGCGCAAGCCUGAUCCAGCCAUGCCGCGUGAGUGAUGAAGGCCCUAGGGUUGUAAAGCUCUUUCACCGGUGAAGAUAAUGACGGUAACCGGAGAAGAAGCCCCGGCUAACUUCGUGCCAGCAGCCGCGGUAAUACGAAGGGGGCUAGCGUUGUUCGGAUUUACUGGGCGUAAAGCGCACGUAGGCGGACUAUUAAGUCAGGGGUGAAAACCCGGGGCUCAACCCCGGAACUGCCUUUGAUACUGGUAGUCUUGAGUUCGAGAGAGGUGAGUGGAAUUCCGAGUGUAGAGGUGAAAUUCGUAGAUAUUCGGAGGAACACCAGUGGCGAAGGCGGCUCACUGGCUCGAUACUGACGCUGAGGUGCGAAAGCGUGGGGAGCAAACAGGAUUAGAUACCCGGGUAGUCCCAUGA
Molecule: ribosomal RNA, 455 nt
Filed under: uncultured organism
Description: partial 16S ribosomal RNA
Rfam family: Bacterial small subunit ribosomal RNA
Source: RNAcentral